Molecule: long non-coding RNA, 162 nt
Filed under: Anas platyrhynchos platyrhynchos (common mallard)
Lineage: Eukaryota; Metazoa; Chordata; Aves; Anseriformes; Anatidae
Description: lncRNA (ENSAPLG00000024591.1)
Source: RNAcentral
UGAAUAGCGUAGAAUCUGGCCUUGGGUGGAGCUAUGCCAGAUCUGCAUCUCCCUGGAUAUGGAUCUAACAAGUAACAUUUCAGUUCUGCCGCAGAGCAUACCAGCGUCUCUCUGACACCUCCCUGAGAUAAGGUCUGGUUCAGCAACCAUCCUGACAAGGGA